RNAcentral lists this ribosomal RNA (253 nucleotides) under uncultured bacterium. RNAcentral's name for it is "partial 16S ribosomal RNA". It matches the Rfam family "Bacterial small subunit ribosomal RNA", at positions 524 to 776 of the family's 1533-position model. The record is from RNAcentral.
UACGUAGGGGGCUAGCGUUGUCCGGAAUCAUUGGGCGUAAAGAGCGUGUAGGCGGUCCGGUAAGUCCGCUGUGAAAGUCGGGGGCUCAACCCUCGAAUGCCGGUGGAUACUGUCGGGCUAGAGUGCGGAAGAGGCGAGUGGAAUUCCUGGUGUAGCGGUGAAAUGCGUAGAUAUCAGGAGGAACACCUGUGGUGUAGACAGCUUACUGGACCAUUUCUGACGCUGAGACACGAAAGCGUGGGUAGCAAACAGG